CUCUCUGCUGUGAUUGACAUGUAAACAGACACGCCCACAAAUGUUUGCAUUGAGCAUGAGCUCGGCUAUGGAGUGGGUGGGAGGAGGGCUGGCCGUCCUCUGGCCCUACGUCACCGUGUGGGGAGGAGGAAGUCAGUGUCCCUUCUAUAGACACAAAGGCUCAGAAAGUGACUUUUCAGAGGCUAAAACUCUGGAAAACAGGGUUUGACAUUCAAAUGAAAGGACCAGAGCUGAGUGAAAAGGACUACACCGCGAGGGCAAACCCCUACCGAACAAUUCAGCAGAAACCUGGAACUUCUCGCAGCGCGGACGUUUACGUCCUCGAUCCAAAAUCCACCUACAGGUUUCGGAUUGUCCCCAAAGCUCGUCUGACAGCAGGACAGCCAUCUAAGGUCCACCGGAUUGGCCCAGGGGAGGGUCUGAGUGGUCCAGCCAUCGCUGGGAUCGCUGCUGGGAUCCCCUGUAGCCUCCUGUUCCUACUCCUGCUGGGUGGUCUCAUCUUCCUCUGCAUCCACCUCAACAAGAAAAGAAGUCAUCAGACAAGAUAUCCAGUCUCAAGAGUUAAUGAGGCAAAAAACGACCCAGCCUGAAAAAACUCCCCAUCAUUUGCUAACAGGGGUGUGAAGUCUUUUACCAGAUUACAACAAAUUACACCAGGUGAUGUUCAUGAACUGAUGGUAACCAUGGUAACCAGUUUGUUUAAGUUGUUGAUAAUAAACCAACCUGCGGUGCUUUUUGCUUUCA
This 744-nucleotide long non-coding RNA is filed under the name Gouania willdenowi (blunt-snouted clingfish). RNAcentral describes it as "lncRNA (ENSGWIG00000018877.1)". Lineage: Eukaryota; Metazoa; Chordata; Actinopteri; Blenniiformes; Gobiesocidae. The record is from RNAcentral.